This 665-nucleotide ribosomal RNA is filed under the name uncultured bacterium. Its description in RNAcentral is "bacterial SSU rRNA". It matches the Rfam family "Bacterial small subunit ribosomal RNA", at positions 91 to 789 of the family's 1533-position model. The record is from RNAcentral.
GUUAGUGGCGGACGGGUGAGUAACGCGUGAGAAUCUGCCCUCAGGAGGGGGAUAACAGUUGGAAACGACUGCUAAUACCCCAUAUGCCGAGAGGUGAAACGAAUUUUGCCUGGGGAUGAGCUCGCGUCUGAUUAGCUUGUUGGUGGGGUAAAAGCCUACCAAGGCUUCGAUCAGUAGCUGGUCUGAGAGGACGAUCAGCCACACUGGGACUGAGAUACGGCCCAGACUCCUACGGGAGGCAGCAGUGGGGAAUUUUCCGCAAUGGGCGCAAGCCUGACGGAGCAACGCCGCGUGAGGGAUGAAGGCCUUUGGGCUGUAAACCUCUUUUCUCAAGGAAGAAGAUCUGACGGUACUUGAGGAAUAAGCCACGGCUAAUUCCGUGCCAGCAGCCGCGGUAAUACGGGAGUGGCAAGCGUUAUCCGGAAUUAUUGGGCGUAAAGCGUCCGCAGGCGGCCGUUUAAGUCUGUUGUUAAAUCGUGGAGCUCAACUCCAUCACGGCAAUGGAAACUGUUCGGCUUGAGUAUGGUAGGGGCAGAGGGAAUUUCCGGUGUAGCGGUGAAAUGCGUAGAUAUCGGGAAGAACACCAGUGGCAAAAAGCGCUCUGCUGGGCCAUUACUGACGCUCAUGGACGAAAGCCAGGGGAGCGAAAGGGAUUAGAUACCCCU